CCAAUAGCGUAUAUUAAAGUUGUUGCAGUUAAAAAGCUCGUAGUUGAAUUUCGGGGUCAGCAGGUUGGUCGUGCCACUUGUAUGUACUGGCCUUGCUGAUUCCUCCUUCUUGUAGAACCGUAAUGCCAUUAAUUUGGUGUUGCGGGGAAACAGGACUGUUACUUUGAAAAAAUUAGAGUGUUUAAAGCAGGCUAACGCUUGAAUACAUUAGCAUGGAAUAAUGAAAUAGGACGAGCGAUCCUAUUUUGUUGGUUUCUAGGAUUGACGUAAUGAUUAAUAGGGAUAGUUGGGGGCAUUAGUAUUCAAUUGUCAGAGGUGAAAUUCUUGGAUUUAUUGAAGACUAACUACUGCGAAAGCAUUUGCCAAGGAUGUUUUCAUUAAUCAAGAACGAAAGUUAGGGGAUCGAAGACGAUCAGAUACCGUCGUAGUCUUAACCAUAAACUAUGCCGACUAGGGAUCGGAUGAUGUUAAUUUUAUAAUGACUCAUUCGGCGCCUUACG
This 500-nucleotide ribosomal RNA is filed under the name uncultured Glomeromycotina. Its description in RNAcentral is "partial small subunit ribosomal RNA". It matches the Rfam family "Eukaryotic small subunit ribosomal RNA", at positions 591 to 1092 of the family's 1831-position model. The record is from RNAcentral. Lineage: Eukaryota; Fungi; Glomeromycota.